This 387-nucleotide unclassified non-coding RNA is filed under the name soil metagenome. Its description in RNAcentral is "partial contains 5.8S ribosomal RNA, internal transcribed spacer 2, and large subunit ribosomal RNA". The stretch from base 1 to 120 matches the Rfam family "5.8S ribosomal RNA", at positions 35 to 154 of the family's 154-position model. The record is from RNAcentral.
GAUGAAGAACGUAGCGAAAUGCGAUAAGUAAUGUGAAUUGCAGAAUUCAGUGAAUCAUCGAAUCUUUGAACGCACAUUGCGCCCAUUAGUAUUCUAGUGGGCAUGCCUGUUCGAGCGUCAUUAAUUCCACUUAAGCCCUGCUUAGUGUUGGCAAUCUACUCUAGUGGUGCUACCCUGGAGCUACCCCUGAAAGGGGGCUGGCCCGGUAGUUACCCUGUAGUUCCUCAAAGAUAGUGCGCGGAGUUGCGUGGUCCUCUGAGCUUAGUAACUAUACACCUAGCUUUUGAGUGUCCCGCGGCGCCUGCCGUUUAAACCCCAUCUUUUAAUGGUUGACCUCGGAUCAGGUAGGAAUACCCGCUGAACUUAAGCAUAUCAAUAAGCGGAGGA